GACGAACGCUGGCGGCGUGCUUAACACAUGCAAGUCGAACGGAAAGGCCCUGCUUUUGUGGGGUGCUCGAGUGGCGAACGGGUGAGUAACACGUGAGUAACCUGACCUUGACUUUGGGAUAACUUCAGGAAACUGGGGCUAAUACAGGAUAGGAGAUCAUGUUGCAUGGUGGGGGUUGGAAAGUUUCGGCGGUUGGGGAUGGAUUCGCGGCUUAUCAGCUUGUUGGUGGGGUAGUGGCUUACCAAGGCUUUGAAGGGUAGCCCGCCUGAGAGGGUGACCGGCCACAUGAGGACUGAGGUACGGCCCAGACUCCUACGGUAGGCAGUAGUGGGGAAUAUUGCACAAUGGGCGGGAGCCUGAUGCAGCAACGCCGCGUGCGGGAUGACGUCCUGCGGGUUGUAAACCGCAUUCGCCCGUUACGAAGCGUGAGUGACGGUAAUGGAUAAAGAAGCACCGGCUAACUACGUG
RNAcentral lists this ribosomal RNA (468 nucleotides) under uncultured bacterium. RNAcentral's name for it is "partial 16S ribosomal RNA". It matches the Rfam family "Bacterial small subunit ribosomal RNA", at positions 28 to 507 of the family's 1533-position model. The record is from RNAcentral.